RNAcentral lists this long non-coding RNA (1862 nucleotides) under Ornithorhynchus anatinus (platypus). RNAcentral's name for it is "lncRNA (ENSOANG00000043492.1)". The record is from RNAcentral. Lineage: Eukaryota; Metazoa; Chordata; Mammalia; Monotremata; Ornithorhynchidae.
GUGGGAACGACGGGUGCCCAGAGCUGCCCACCCUCUCCAUAGGAGUGAGGAGGGGAGGAAUGAUGCUGGCUAAACAUUUUCCUCAGGUGAUGCCUAGGGAGAACACCCACUACCUGGAUGUUAAUUUGGACCAGGUCUCCUGCCCUCUGGCCCCAGGUUGCUCCAGAUCUAGCAGUCACGCGCCCUCAGCCGAGGCUUCGGGAAAUCCGGAAGGCCAAGAAGAAGGAAUGGCCCUGCGCCCGGCUGACUGCUCCUUCGACCGCUAACGCCUCCUCGUCAGCCAGCUUGGGUCAGCCAGUCUGAGCCGUUGGCACCCGCACAACCACUCCAGCCCUGGCAGCCAGAGCCAGAGCUGGGCCUGGUGGAGAAGUAAUGACGUCUGAGCUGUCUGGUGUGUAGGCUGAGAACCUGGCUGAUCGCCCUUCUCAUCUCCAUAUGAUCUUGGACCCGGUGCAGAGGUGAAGUCAGAGCCAAACGGACGAAAGUAAAGUGGAGCCGUCAUGGCAGUGGGAUGGGGCAGGCUGUCUAGGCGAGGACCACCCUCACCCACUCCACACCCACCUCCUGCUCUAACCUGGGGACCCUGACCUUGGGCAAGUCACUUUACUUCUCCGGACCUCGGUUAACUCUUCUCUAAAAUGGGGAUUGAGACGGAGCCCCAGGUGGAAAAGGGACUGCGUCAAACCCGAUUUGCUUGUAUCCACCCCAGCGCUUAGUACAGUGCCUGGCUUGUAGUAAGUGCUUUACAAAUACUAUAAUUAUUUUGGUCCCGACAAUUUCUUCCCUUCCCGUAUUUAGGCUCCUAUCCCAGCUCUGUCCCUCGAGGCGUGCCUCACCCUGGUCCCGAGGACUACCCUUGACACUCCCAGCUCUUCCAGGGCGCUCUAACCCUGUUUUCCCUGGGUCUCGGGAGAGGAGAGGCAGUGUGGCCCAGAGAGAAUCCGGAGAGCUGGGUUUUAGCCCCAACCUCUCAGGUGAAUGACUUCAACUCUCUGACCUUGGUUUCCUCCUCUGUGGAAAAAGGGAGGAUUGACGCCAGCCUCUCCCCACCUCCCAGUGAAGGUGUGAAGGUGCAAGGAGAAAGCCGACAGAAAGACCCAAGCCUCGGACUCAGAAAUCCUGGGUUUUAAUUUUGGCUCUAAUCAUUAACAACAAUAAUAAUAAUGGUAUUUUUUAGGAAUUUACUACAGGCCAUGCAUUAUAGUAAACGCUGGGGUAGAUACAAGAUAAUCAGAUUGGACACAGUCCCUCUCCCACGUGGGAUCACAGUCUCAGCAGGAGGGAGAACUGGUAAAAUCCCCAUUUUGCAGAUGAGGAAAUAAUAAUGAUGAUAGUUAUUAAGUGCUCACAGAGAAGUUAACCUGCCCAAAGUCACACAGCAGGCAAGGAGCAGAGUGGGAUUAGAACCCAGGUCCUGUGACUCCCGGGCCCAUGCCCUUUCCACUAGGUAUGUUGCCUGCUCUGCCACUUGCCUGCUGGGUGACCUUGGACAAGUCCAUUUAUCUGUGCCUCAAUUUCCUCAUCUGUAAAAUGGGGAUUAAAUACCACUCCUCCCUCCCCCUUAGACUGUGAAUGCCAUGUGGGAAAGGGACUGUGUCUGACCUGAACGUUCUGUACCUGGCCAGUUGGUCAGUGAUAUUUGCCGAGUAGUAAUUGUGUGCAAAUCACUGUCCCGAGCUCUAGAAUGAGUCCAGUAUAUUAGAUUUGGAACACCCGAAACCUGCUGUCGAGGAGCUUAUAAGGAAGUGUUUUCCCCAGUGUUAAAGUACUGUGCACAAAGUAAGCACUUAAAAUAUGGAGGGGGGAGGUGCUGAGGUCGAACACACAAACACAAGCGUGUGCAUGCUCUGGGAGUAGAGGAG